ACGAACGCUGGCGGCAUGCCUAACACAUGCCAGUCGAACGAGACCUUUGGGUCUAGUGGCGCACGGGUGCGUAACGCGUGGGAAUCUGCCCUUGGGUUCGGAAUAACAGUGAGAAAUUGCUGCUAAUACCGGAUGAUGUCUUCGGACCAAAGAUUUAUCGCCCAGGGAUGAGCCCGCGUAGGAUUAGCUAGUUGGUGGGGUAAUGGCCUACCAAGGCGACGAUCCUUAGCUGGUCUGAGAGGAUGAUCAGCCACACUGGGACUGAGACACGGCCCAGACUCCUACGGGGGGCAGGAGGGGGGAAAAUUGGAAAAGGGGCGGAAGCCUGAUCCAGCAAUGCCGGGGGAGGGAUGAAGGCCUUAGGGUUGAAAAGCUCUUUUACCAGGGAUGAUAAUGACAGUACCGGGAAAAUAAGCCCCGGCUAACUCCGU
RNAcentral lists this ribosomal RNA (431 nucleotides) under uncultured bacterium. RNAcentral describes it as "partial 16S ribosomal RNA". It matches the Rfam family "Bacterial small subunit ribosomal RNA", at positions 29 to 506 of the family's 1533-position model. The record is from RNAcentral.